Paramuricea clavata is the source of this 276-nucleotide non-coding RNA. Lineage: Eukaryota; Metazoa; Cnidaria; Anthozoa; Malacalcyonacea; Plexauridae. The record is from the annotation of a GenBank genome assembly.
CAUCUUUUAAAUAAUGUUUUAUAUACUCUUGUAAAUCACGCAAUUCAUCUGUCCAGCUGCAAGGUGAAUUUUAAAUACACUAUCUAUCUAUCUAAGUCCUGCGCCAGCUUUCAACGUCUCGCUGCAGUCCACUCCAAUAGAAUCUUUGUUUGACUCUUUCCACCGCCUUUGUUACCCCAAGAUGCUCGCAAGUUGGAUUGUUGUGCGAAAGAUCUAAAACAACCGGUAGUCAAUUUAUCCCGGGCAUUCUGUGACCCCCGUCCGCGAUCAUAUCAG